AGGGCGCGCAGGCGGUCUUGCCGGUCAGGUGUGAAAGCCCGGGGCUCAACCCNGGAAGAGCAUUUGAAACAGCAAGACUUGAGUACAGGAGAGGAAAGCGGAAUUCCUGGUGUAGAGGUGAAAUUCGUAGAUAUCAGGAGGAACACUCAUGGCGAAGGCAGCUUUCUGGACUGAUACUGACGCUGAGGCGCGAAGGUGUGGGUAGCGAACAGGAUUAGAUACCCUGGUAGUCCACACAGUAAACGAUGUUCACUAGGUGUAGCGGAUGUUAAAAUCUGCUGUGCCGCAGCCAACGCAUUAAGUGAACCGCCUGGGGAGUACGGUCGCAAGAUUAAAACUCAAAGGAAUUGACGGGGGCCCGCACAAGCGGUGGAGCAUGUGGUUUAAUUCGACGCAACGCGAAGAACCUUACCUGGAUUUGACAUCCUGUGAAUCUCCGAGAGAUCGGGGAGUGCCUUCGGGAGCACAGAGACAGGUGCUGCAUGGCUGUCGUCAGCUCGAGUCGUGAGAUGUUUGGUUAAGUCCAGCAACGAGCGCAACCCUUAUCUUCAGUUGCCAGCAUUUCGGAUGGGAACUCUGGAGAGACUGCCCCGGUAAACGGGGAGGAAGGUGGGGAUGACGUCAAGUCCUCAUGGCCCUUAUGUCCAGGGCUACACACGUGCUACAAUGGCAGGUACAGAGGGCAGCUAUCCCGCGAGGGAAUGCGAAUCUCGAAAGCCGAUCUCAGUUCGGAUUGGAGUCUGCAACUCGACUCCAUGAAGCUGGAAUCGCUAGUAAU
Molecule: ribosomal RNA, 778 nt
Filed under: uncultured Desulfobacteraceae bacterium
Lineage: Bacteria; Pseudomonadati; Thermodesulfobacteriota; Desulfobacteria; Desulfobacterales; Desulfobacteraceae
Description: bacterial SSU rRNA
Rfam family: Bacterial small subunit ribosomal RNA
Source: RNAcentral